ACUAAAACUUUCAACAACGGAUCUCUUGGUUCUGGCAUCGAUGAAGAACGCAGCGAAAUGCGAUAAGUAAUGUGAAUUGCAGAAUUCAGUGAAUCAUCGAAUCUUUGAACGCACAUUGCGCCCCUUGGUAUUCCGAGGGGCAUGCCUGUUCGAGCGUCAUUUCAACCCUCAAGCUCUGCUUGGUAUUGGG
RNAcentral lists this ribosomal RNA (190 nucleotides) under Neofusicoccum eucalypticola. RNAcentral's name for it is "5.8S ribosomal RNA". The stretch from base 6 to 159 matches the Rfam family "5.8S ribosomal RNA". From Rfam's summary of the family: 5.8S ribosomal RNA (5.8S rRNA) is a component of the large subunit of the eukaryotic ribosome. The record is from RNAcentral. Lineage: Eukaryota; Fungi; Ascomycota; Dothideomycetes; Botryosphaeriales; Botryosphaeriaceae.